RNAcentral lists this transfer RNA (92 nucleotides) under Candidatus Cloacimonadota bacterium. RNAcentral's name for it is "tRNA-Ser". It matches the Rfam family "tRNA". From Rfam's summary of the family: Transfer RNA (tRNA) molecules are approximately 80 nucleotides in length. The record is from RNAcentral. Lineage: Bacteria; Pseudomonadati; Candidatus Cloacimonadota.
GGAAGUAUGGCUGAGUGGCUAAAGGCAUUUGUUUGCUAAACAAACGGGGUGGGAAACUGCCCCCAGAGGUUCGAAUCCUCUUACUUCCGCCA